AUUGAACGCUGGCGGCAUGCCUUACACAUGCAAGUCGAACGGCAGCACGAGAGCAAUCCUGGUGGCGAGUGGCGAACGGGUGAGUAAAGUAUCGGAACGUGCCCAGUCGUGGGGGAUAACGUAGCGAAAGUUACGCUAAUACCGCAUACGAUCUAUGGAUUAAAGCGGGGGAUCGCAAGACCUCGCGCGAUUGGAGCGGCCGAUAUCAGAUUAGGUAGUUGGUGGGGUAAAGGCUCACCAAGCCGACGAUCUGUAGCUGGUCUGAGAGGACGACCAGCCACACUGGGACUGAGACACGGCCCAGACUCCUACGGGAGGCAGCAGUGGGGAAUUUUGGACAAUGGGCGAAAGCCUGAUCCAGCCAUGCCGCGUGCAGGAUGAAGGCCUUCGGGUUGUAAACUGCUUUUGUACGGAACGAAAAGGUUUGGCCUAAUAAGCUGAGCUCAUGACGGUACCGUAAGAAUAAGCACCGGCUAACUACGUGCCAGCCGCCGCCGUAA
This 500-nucleotide ribosomal RNA is filed under the name uncultured bacterium. Its description in RNAcentral is "partial 16S ribosomal RNA". It matches the Rfam family "Bacterial small subunit ribosomal RNA", at positions 30 to 523 of the family's 1533-position model. The record is from RNAcentral.